UUCAUUACUUUGAAUUGCGUUUUGAAACAGUACAAGUUUGCUAUCCCGAAUAUAUGUGCUUCAUGUUUAAUUUUAGAUAAAAACAACAGCGUCCAGGUUUUGGAGCGACGUGAGGCUUUUGGUCCACCAAUCGUGAUGUGGAGGCAGCCGAUGUGAACUUAAAACAAGAACAUGUGGGUCAGCAAAGACGAGACACAAUCCCAUCAGGACUUGUGAUUAAGACCGGCAGCGCCGGCGUGAGGUAGGG
Long non-coding RNA from Cyprinus carpio (common carp), 247 nucleotides. RefSeq lists it as uncharacterized. The transcript is spliced from 3 exons. The record is from RefSeq and is a predicted model, not a curated record. Lineage: Eukaryota; Metazoa; Chordata; Actinopteri; Cypriniformes; Cyprinidae.